AACCCUUCGCUGGAUCCCGGGACCCCGGCAAUGACGGGCUGCACAGGCUCCCGGAAGGGCGGCGUGGACAGUGACCUGCGCCUGCACACAGGCCUCUUGGCGGCGGCAGCAGCAGCCCCAGCAUCCCACGCCCGUCUCUGGGGUCCGCGCUUUUAGCCCGGCUCGCGCCCGUCUCUGGAGCUCCUUUAAGCAGCGCUCUUAAUCCCCUCUCCUCGCGCACCAGGAAACCAAGAGGGAAGAAAAAGUCUCUUGCCUCUUCGGCUGCUCCAGAGUUUUCCCGGACUCCCUGCCGGCUAGCUGUGGCGCAUUAGCCCCCUUCAGGCUGAGUUCUCGCCGCCAGCCCCAGUCCUCUCCCUGCGCUCUGACCGAAGCCCGAGCCUCAGCUUCCAGCGCUGCCCGCCCCAGCAGGUGAGCAGACAAGCCUCUCGGGCUGGUGAGUGCCGGUCGGCACCGAUCCUCUGUGCGGGAAUCUCCGCUUUGCCCUACCCAGGACUCUUUUCCUUGGAGGCAAGGUACACUCCUGUCUGAAGAUCAACUCUUCCACAGAGGGUCCUGAGCAGAAAUCACAAGGUAAAGUCUGAUGGGACAAUGGAGCAUGCAAGCGAGGAGAGAAGGUACACACAUUAUGUGUAUCAGCCAUUCCUUGACACCCCAUUCAUAUUCCUGAUGCCCCACGAGCACAGAGUUCUAGGGGACCCAUGAUACAUGGGUGUUCAAUGAGGCUCCAAUCAAGUACAUGUAAGCAUAUUACACCGACAACAGAGCAAGUGGUGGUGUUGGUGCUGACAGCCUUGAGAGGUGGUGCUUUCUGUUCAAACCAGAAUUUCCUUUUAAAACAGACAGAAGGCAAUGGUGAUCUAAGAAGCAUGAACAACAAAAGAACCCUAUCCGAUCCUUCCUGACUUAUGUUACUGCUGUGAUUGAAUUGGGUCCUGCUGCUUGCUGCUUACAAAAUCAGUUACAUACUGACAAAUGGUAGAAAGGAAAGGUGCUUUUAAUCAGAAUCCCGGCAAUCUGCGGAGACGGUGGACUCAAGUGUUCCCCAAAAACCACCUCUGAAGAUUCUGCUCAGCCAUGAGAGUUUUAAAGGAAAGGAAGGAAGCAAUCUCAGUUAAUCAUUGAGAUGGGGGUCAGAGUCAUCGCCAUUCCCCACUGUGUGCAGGCUUGUGUUCAGGCUUGUCACUCGUGAUCUUCCCCUAGAUGUCAUCUUGUUCAUAGAACUUGGUCACACAGUUUGUUUGGAAGAUUACUGAAGGGGAAGCUAGGGAAGACAUCUUGUUAUCUGUUAAUUACUUAUUCUUCAUUUCUACUUCUUUGAUCUACGGAAAGAACUGACCAGAUGGUGUCAUUCAUCUGACUGAGAACUUCAGGUGGCUUCUCACAGCCUACAGUAAAAAGUUCACUCCUGGCCCGGAGGAAGAUGGCGGAAGAGUAAGACGCGGAGAUCACCUUCCUCCCCACAGAUACAUCAGAAAUUCAUCUACACAUGGAACAACUCC
Molecule: long non-coding RNA, 1499 nt
Organism: Mesoplodon densirostris (Blainville's beaked whale)
Lineage: Eukaryota; Metazoa; Chordata; Mammalia; Artiodactyla; Ziphiidae
Exons: 4
Source: RefSeq, a predicted model, not a curated record